Molecule: ribosomal RNA, 460 nt
Filed under: uncultured bacterium
Lineage: Bacteria
Description: partial 16S ribosomal RNA
Rfam family: Bacterial small subunit ribosomal RNA
Source: RNAcentral
CCUACGGGUGGCUGCAGUGAGGAAUAUUGGUCAAUGGCCGAGAGGCUGAACCAGCCAAGUAGCGUGCGGGAUGAAUGCCCUACGGAUUGUAAACUUCUUUUGUCAGGGAGUAAAGCCACUUACGUGUGGGUCUUGGAGUGUACCGGAAGAAUAAGGACCGGCUAAUUCCGUGCCAGCAGCCGCGGUAAUACGGAGGAUUCGGGCGUUAUCCGGAUUUAUUGGGUUUAAAGGGAGCGUAGGCCGCAUGUCAAGCGUGCGGUGAAAUGGCCGGGCUCAACCCGGGCCGUGCGGCGGGAACUGGAGGGCUUGAGGACGCGGAAAGCAGGCGGAAGGCGGCGGGUAGCGGUGAAAUGCUGAGAUAUGACGAAGAACCCCGAGUGCGAAGGCAGCUUGCUGCAGCGGAACUGACGCUGAUGCUAGAAAGCGCGGGUAUCGAAAAGGAGUAGAUACCCGAGUAGUC